This 69-nucleotide transfer RNA is filed under the name Pteropus alecto (black flying fox). It matches the Rfam family "tRNA". From Rfam's summary of the family: Transfer RNA (tRNA) molecules are approximately 80 nucleotides in length. Their secondary structure includes four short double-helical elements and three loops (D, anti-codon, and T loops). The record is from Rfam by way of RNAcentral. Lineage: Eukaryota; Metazoa; Chordata; Mammalia; Chiroptera; Pteropodidae.
GGUUCCAUAGUGUAGUAGCACAUUUGUUUUACAUGCAGAAGAUCCUGGGUUCACAUCCCAGUGGAGCCA